This 23-nucleotide non-coding RNA is filed under the name Arabidopsis thaliana (thale cress). The record is from RNAcentral. Lineage: Eukaryota; Viridiplantae; Streptophyta; Magnoliopsida; Brassicales; Brassicaceae.
ACGAAGUGAGCACGCUCCGAUGG